RNAcentral lists this ribosomal RNA (253 nucleotides) under uncultured bacterium. RNAcentral describes it as "partial 16S ribosomal RNA". It matches the Rfam family "Bacterial small subunit ribosomal RNA", at positions 524 to 776 of the family's 1533-position model. The record is from RNAcentral.
UACGUAGGGGGCAAGCGUUGUCCAGAAUCAUUGGGCGUAAAGCGCGUGUAGGCGGCCCGGUAAGUCCGCUGUGAAAGUCCAGGGCUCAACCCUGGGAUGCCGGUGGAUACUGUCGGGCUCGAGUCCGGAAGAGGAGUGUGGAAUUCCUGGUGUAGCGGUGAAAUGCGCAGAUAUCAGGAGGAACACCAAUGGCGAAGGCAGCACUCUGGGACGUGACUGACGCUGAGACGCGAAAGCGUGGGGAGCGAACAGG